RNAcentral lists this ribosomal RNA (502 nucleotides) under uncultured bacterium. RNAcentral describes it as "partial 16S ribosomal RNA". It matches the Rfam family "Bacterial small subunit ribosomal RNA", at positions 29 to 523 of the family's 1533-position model. The record is from RNAcentral.
AUUGAACGCUGGCGGAAUGCUUUACACAUGCAAGUCGAACGGCAGCACGGGUGCUUGCACCUGGUGGCGAGUGGCGAACGGGUGAGUAAUACAUCGGAACGUACCCCGUCGUGGGGGAUAACGUAGCGAAAGUUACGCUAAUACCGCCUACGUCCUGAGGGCGAAAGCGGGGGACCGUAAUGCUUCGAGCGCUUAGAGCGGCCGAUGGCGGAGUAGCUAAUUGGUGGGGUAAAGGCCUACCAAGGCGACGAUCCGUAGCGGGUCUGAGAGGACGGCCCGCCACACUGGAACAGAGACACGGUCCAGACUCCUACGGGAGGCAGCGGUGGGGAAUUUUGGACAAUGGGCGAAAGCCUGAUCCAGCCAUUCCGCGUGAGUGAAGAAGGCCUUCGGGUUGUAAAGCUCUUUCGGCAGGGAAGAAACGGCUUGGGAUAAUACCCCGGGCUAAUGACGGUACCUGAAGAAGAAGCACCGGCUAACUACGUGCCAGCCGCCGCCGUAA